RNAcentral lists this ribosomal RNA (253 nucleotides) under uncultured bacterium. Its description in RNAcentral is "partial 16S ribosomal RNA". It matches the Rfam family "Bacterial small subunit ribosomal RNA", at positions 524 to 776 of the family's 1533-position model. The record is from RNAcentral.
AACGUAGGAGACAACCGUUAUCCGGAGUUACUGGGCGUAAAGGGCGUGCAGGUGGUCUGUUAAGUCUGGCGUGAAAGCUCUCGGCUAAACCGGGAGAGGUCGUUGGAUACUGGCGGACUAGAGGACGGUAGAGGCGUGUGGAAUUCCGGGUGUAGUGGUGAAAUGCGUAGAGAUCCGGAGGAACACCAGUGGCGAAGGCGACACGCUGGGCCGUACCUGACACUAAAACGCGACAGCAUGGGGAGCGAACGGG